UACAGAGGUCUCAAGCGUUGUUCGGAUUCAUUGGGCGUAAAGGGUGCGUAGGCGGCGCGGUAAGUCGGGUGUGAAAUCUCGGGGCUUAACUCCGAAACUGCAUUCGAUACUGCCGUGCUUGAGGACUGGAGAGGAGACUGGAAUUUACGGUGUAGCGGUGAAAUGCGCAGAUAUCAGGAGGAACACCGGUGGCGAAGGCGGGUCUCUGGGCCGAUAUCGACGCUGAGGAGCGAAAGCGUGGGGAGCGAUCCGG
This 253-nucleotide ribosomal RNA is filed under the name uncultured bacterium. RNAcentral's name for it is "partial 16S ribosomal RNA". It matches the Rfam family "Bacterial small subunit ribosomal RNA", at positions 524 to 776 of the family's 1533-position model. The record is from RNAcentral.